GACGUAGGGCGCGAGCGUUGUCCGGAUUUAUUGGGCGUAAAGAGCUCGUAGGCGGCUCGUUGCGUCGGCUGUGAAAACCCGCAGCUCAACUGUGGGCUUGCAGCUGAUACGGGCGGGCUGGAGUUCGGUAGGGGAGACUGGAAUUCCUGGUGUAGCGGUGAAAUGCGCAGAUAUCGGGAGGAACACCAGUAGCGAAGGCGGCACUCUGGGCCGGUACUGACGCUGAGGAGCGAAAGCGUGGGGAGCGAACAGG
Molecule: ribosomal RNA, 253 nt
Filed under: uncultured bacterium
Lineage: Bacteria
Description: partial 16S ribosomal RNA
Rfam family: Bacterial small subunit ribosomal RNA
Source: RNAcentral